Molecule: small RNA, 76 nt
Filed under: Xanthomonas oryzae
Lineage: Bacteria; Pseudomonadati; Pseudomonadota; Gammaproteobacteria; Lysobacterales; Lysobacteraceae
Description: sX9
Rfam family: Xanthomonas sRNA sX9
Source: RNAcentral
AUGUAUAUGCGUACACUCAGGUUCUGAGCGCGUCGUCCGCGCCCACCUGACAGCUGCUCGCUACGUUUUGUUAGCC